CAGGACGCCAAACUCCAGCCGCUAAGUACAGAAGAACGGAAACCAGCACAGAAGAGCAAGGCACCACGUGGAGCAGCCGGCGGAACCCUUUCGCAGAGAUAAGGAGUAGAGCCCCAGAACCUGCAUCCGGCUGCGCUUGCUGCUAGCGACUGGAGAAGGCCGGCGAGACCCCCUGACGCGCACUAGGAAACAGAGGCCCUAGGCUGAACGUGACCUACCCAAGGUCCCACAGAAGCCUCUAGCUGUCGCCCUGGGUAGAGUGCCUUGGCAUCACAGCUCACAGCAACCUCCAACUCCUGGGCUCAAGCGAUUCUCCUGCCUCCUCCUCCCAAGUAGCUGGGACCACAGGCACCCACCAGAUGCCCAGCUAUGUUCUGGUUGCAUCCGUCAUUGUUGUUGUAUGGUGGGCCCGGGCUGAAUUCAAACUCACCAGCUUAGGUGUAUGUGGCUAGCGCCUUAGCCGCUUGAGCCACAGGUGCCAAGCCCAAAGCUGUGGUUCUUAACAGCCCUGCUCUCUCUCUCAGCAUAAAUGACAGCAGACUGAAUGGGGUGCAUGUGUCUUCCCGACAAAGAAGCCCUGGGAGGUGCCCAGCUACAGAGGCACUCUGGGUUGAAACAAUCAAGGAAAGUUUUGGAAAAAGAGAGUGCAGGGUAAUCUGGUCCUUGAAAGAAGAUGGGAGGACAUUAGUUUGACACAGAUGCCAGAAAAGAAGGCUAUAAUUUUGCCUCUAUCCAGAGAUGAGGCAGACCCUUUAUGCCAAUGUCACCCCAGUCUUCCCAGUUUUAUCUGAUAGCAAAGGGGCUGCUGGGACUCUCAAAGACCACUCACUCCUGUUACUGUGGUUCUUGAUGUCAUGCUCCUUUUUUCUUUCUUUAAAUAUCUCCUUGCAGCUGCCCCAAGAUGGCCACACCAAGCUCCCUCAUAUGCCCUAGCGAGCAGAUAAUCUGGGCCCACAGCUUUUGGCCACUGCGGAAGAGAAGAGAGCCCCAGUAAGGCAGUGAAAUAUCUUGAAAAGGGCAGGGACUGGGCUCCUUGCUUCUAACCUGACACUGUUCUGUCUCUCUUCCCCUCUCUGGGCUUGAGUUGGCUAAGGCAGACUCUGUGAGCCCUUUUAACCCUAAAAUCUUCACUCUCAUAGAAUCACACCACAUCACAGGUAAUUUGGACUCCUUACCAAACCAUGUGGGCUCCAUGAAGGUAGGAACCAUAACCUUUCCCUAGUUGCUGUAACCCCAGCAACUAGCUUAGGGCUUGACCCAUAGUAGAACUUAAUCAAUAUGUGUUCCGUGAUUGACUGUUCAUUCUUCCUCCCUAAGGUACAAGCACAAGAGGAACCCAUUUGGAAAAACCCUACCCUCCUCCAUUUACAGGCUUUGUGGUUGACCCUGGACAAAGUUAACCUCUUUGUACGUAAAAUGGAGAUGUCAAUAGUAGCUACCUAAGAAAGUUGUUUGGCGCAUGAAACAAGAAAUGCACAAGACGCAUUUAGUACAAGUGCCUGGGAGCUGCGGCUGGGCUGGUCCCCCUCCUGGCCUGAUUCCAGUCUGCCAGUGUAGCAACGCAAGAUUCCAGAUAUGGCCUGACCAAGCCAGCACAAUAGGCCUAUUAUUUUCCCCAGUCUGGACGCGACACAUUGUUAAUGCAGCCUAAGACUGCAGGGCUUCAGAGCCUUUCUCUCCCAUGAUUAGUUCCCAUCAGGUUUUGUGGUCAAGUAAAUCAUUCAGAUCCUUUUUUAUUGGAGUUGAGGUCAAGUCAGGUCUCUCCCUCAUCCUCUGCUUUGUGUAAUGUCUUGAAGCUACAAUAGAACAAUGUCAUCUUGCUUAUUCCAGCCUGUCGACAUUGUUUUGGAUGCUGGAUCUAUGGCCUACUGUUUUCUCUCACUCUCAAUUUAGAUCCAGCCUAUCCCUUACAACUUCAACUUCACCAGCCAUAUUGCCAUGAAACACACAAGAGACACUCAUUCAUCAUAAACUGAAUCAGGGCACUGCCAAUACAACAGCCCCCAGUUAUGAAGCACCAAUGGUAUGAUGGGCAAUCAUUGUGCUAAAUGCUUUAUAUAUAGCAUUUAGCCACUGAGUAGAGUGGGCUACAAAUAAUGGUAGAGUUGGGCUAUGAAGCCAGGUAACUGAAAGGGUCAUUUAUAUUAACCCCAUUUUACAGAUGAUAAAACUGAGGGUAAGAGAGGGGAAGCAGGAAUUCAAUUUUAUAAACUCAGAGUGAGGCCCCUUUUUCUGAUAGUGAGCUUUGUUGUUGAUUUGUCAUUUAGAGAUUUUGUCUUCCAGGUGCCUACUGUCUUGACCAGUGGCUCCAUUGCCGGCCACACCACCACCACCCCUCACCAGAUAUUCUCCUUCCUGCCUCCUUACUCAUAACAUGUAUGGAGCCCAAGAGGCUUUGCUGAGGUUCCAGUCCAUGGUGGGCAGAAGGCAAUCUUACCAGCUCUAUUAGCUUCAGGAGCCUGGAGCAGAAACCUGGGCCCAUUCUUUGCAGAAACAUUCUUUCCAUCUAGAAUAGCAAUUAACAAAU
This is a long non-coding RNA of Nycticebus coucang (slow loris), 2527 nucleotides long. RefSeq lists it as uncharacterized. NCBI's taxonomy places the organism in Eukaryota, Metazoa, Chordata, Mammalia, Primates, Lorisidae. The record is from RefSeq and is a predicted model, not a curated record. The transcript is spliced from 3 exons.